RNAcentral lists this ribosomal RNA (232 nucleotides) under uncultured bacterium. RNAcentral describes it as "partial 16S ribosomal RNA". It matches the Rfam family "Bacterial small subunit ribosomal RNA", at positions 99 to 334 of the family's 1533-position model. The record is from RNAcentral.
CGGACGGGUGAGUAAUGUCUGGGAAACUGCCUGAUGGAGGGGGAUAACUACUGGAAACGGUAGCUAAUACCGCAUAACGUCGCAAGACCAAAGAGGGGGACCUUAGGGCCUCUUGCCAUCGGAUGAACCCAUAUGGGAUUAGCUAGUAGGUAAGGUAACGGCUUACCUAGGCGACGAUCCCUAGCUGGUCUGAGAGGAUGAUCAGCCACACUGGGACUGAGACACGGCCCAG